GACGAACGCUGGCGGCGUGCUUAACACAUGCAAGUCGAACGGAAAGGCCCCUUUGGUGGUCCUCGAGUGGCGAACGGGUGCGUAACACGUACGUAACCUGCCCUUGACUUCGGGACAACUUCAGGAAACUGGGGCUAAUACCGGAUAGGAAUCAUUGCUUCAUGGUGGGGGUUGGAAAGCUUCGGCGGUUUUGGAUGGACUCGCUGGGUAGCAGCUUGUUGGUGGGGCAGUGGCUUACCAAGGCUUUGUCGUGUAGCCGGACUGAGGAGGCGACCGGCCACAUAGACACUGAGGGAAGGCACAGACUCCGACUGGAGGGAGAUGUGGGGAAGACUGACCAAGGGGCGGAAGGCUGAUGCAGCAAGUCCGCGGGCGGGAUGACGGUCUUCGGGUUGGAAAACGCAUUCAGCAGGGGCGAAGCUUGUGGUGACGGUACCUGCAGAAGAAGCACCGGCUAACUACGUG
This 465-nucleotide ribosomal RNA is filed under the name uncultured bacterium. Its description in RNAcentral is "partial 16S ribosomal RNA". It matches the Rfam family "Bacterial small subunit ribosomal RNA", at positions 28 to 507 of the family's 1533-position model. The record is from RNAcentral.